This 492-nucleotide ribosomal RNA is filed under the name uncultured bacterium. RNAcentral's name for it is "partial 16S ribosomal RNA". It matches the Rfam family "Bacterial small subunit ribosomal RNA", at positions 29 to 507 of the family's 1533-position model. The record is from RNAcentral.
AGUGAACGCUGGCGGUAGGCCUAACACAUGCAAGUCGAACGGCAGCACAGUAAGAGCUUGCUCUUACGGGUGGCGAGUGGCGGACGGGUGAGGAAUACAUCGGAAUCUACUUUUUCGUGGGGGAUAACGUAGGGAAACUUACGCUAAUACCGCAUACGACCUACGGGUGAAAGCAGGGGAUAUUCGGACCUUGCGCGAUUGAAUGAGCCGAUGUCGGAUUAGCUAGUUGGCGGGGUAAAGGCCCACCAAGGCGACGAUCCGUAGCUGGUCUGAGAGGAUGAUCAGCCACACUGGAACUGAGACACGGUCCAGACUCCUACGGGAGGCAGCAGUGGGGAAUAUUGGACAAUGGGCGCGAGCCUGAUCCAGCCAUACCGCGUGGGUGAAGAAGGCCUUCGGGUUGUAAAGCCCUUUUGUUGGGAAAGAAAAGCAGCAGGUUAAUACCCCGCUGUUCUGACGGUACCCAAAGAAUAAGCACCGGCUAACUUCGUG